Molecule: long non-coding RNA, 2010 nt
Organism: Oncorhynchus kisutch (coho salmon)
Lineage: Eukaryota; Metazoa; Chordata; Actinopteri; Salmoniformes; Salmonidae
Exons: 2
Source: RefSeq, a predicted model, not a curated record
UCCUAGGCUGUCAUUGUAAAUAAGAAUUUGUUCUUAACUGACUUGCCUGGUUAAAUCAAAUAAAAAUGAUAUCCACCAGUGUUCUCUGCAGCAUGCAUUUUCCCAGAGCACAACCAAAAGCCUAGCUGGCGUUAAGUAAGAUGACAUCAUUGGCCUCACAGACCGGACCCCCAUUCACCGUCCAUACCCCAACCCCCAACCUCACCCCCACGCCUGGACAAAGGGAACCCAGCACAGCUGAGACAGAGGCCAGGGCUAUCUGCCAGACCCUCCCCCCUGCAGCUUUACCCAUAACUUCAUUGGGGAGAUGAAUUGUCUCAUUGUGUGUAUCCAACUGCCCAGCUCACAGGAGAAGAGAGGGUAGAACAGUGUGGAGCCAUGCUCGCUGGACAUCAGGGCAUCAUGCAGUGACCCGGCUUCAAGGGUCAGUUCACACAGUGUUUAAAAAACAUCUCAUGUAACGGAUCACUGGAUCACCCGCUUCUUUCAUUAGGACUCAGAGGGAUCCUCUCUCUACAAUAUCCUGAGGAGCCUGAGUUCCAUCAUAAUGGUUGAUAUUUGAGGAAUUGCUCCAUCCACGACCGUAAGGCCCACCAGCAGUCGGUGAAGACAGUCCAGUACAUCACUGGGACCGUGCUCCCACCCGUCCAGGACAUCUACUCGAAACGGUACCUGAGGAAGGCACACAGUAUCAUCAAUGACCCCACACACCCCAGCCACGAGCUGUUCUCUUCCUUACCAUCGUGGAGAGGGUAUCGGAGCAUGAGGUCUGAUACCAACAGGCUCAAAGACAGUUUCUAUCUACCAGCCACCAGACUGCUGAACACUUGAACUGGACUGACCACCUGCUCUGAUUCUCCACACCUAGCACACAUGCACACUUCUCAUGCACACACCCACAGACAUACACACACAUCACAACUGCUUCUACCAGACUCUUAUUAUACUGCUCUGUUUAUACACUGCACCCCCCCCCCCCUUCCCCAAUACACAUGUAGAUAUUGGACUAAUAUUUGUUUCUUCCUGUAUUAUACUGAUGCUAAAAUAUUUAUUAUAUUCUACUGAGCCAUUUAUUUAAUGUUCGUAAUUGUAUAUUUUAUUAUUUCUUAUUGUUGUUGCAUUGUCGAAGGAACCUGCAAGUAAGCAUUUAAUUGGACGAUGUAUACCGUGUGUUCAAGUUAGGCUACCCCAGUUAUCCAAAUGUUCAAAUGGGGGGAAAUUAAAGAUUGACACAUUUUAGGUGUGCAGUAUCAAACCUUGACAUGUCAGUUAAAGAUUUCCUCGCCAAGGGCAUCUGAGGCUUGUAGGCUCAUCUCAUGGGUUAAGUUCUGUUUGUGUCUCUUGUGUUUAAUUAACAUAAGUGCCAUUAGUGAAAUAGAUGCUCCAAUGACUUUUUCCCUUCCGAGGAUGGACAUCAAUUCAGGCAAUUUAUGUUCCAUUCAUAUUAUUGAACAUACUGUAUACACUGUUUGUAGGUUACUUUGUGUAGUGAAAGGAGAUUGCUUGGAGAUAAAGGUUAAUAAUGGAUGGAUUGAAUCUUGACCACAGUCAUCUGCCUUUGUCUUCAUUACUUCAUUACUGUAGAGAGUCAUUCAAGCAUUUCAACUGGCUCAUAUACUGUACACUUUGAGUCAGAAAGAGUGGUAUAGAGAGUGGUAUAAAAUCUGUUUUAAUAUUUGCUCAUUGUAACAUGCUGUCAUUUAAACAUUUUAUGGGGGUUGAAAUCAGCCUAUAAAUAUGUCUUUUAUUGUUUUUCUUCUACAAUGUCCUUGUUCCUGCUUCUCUAGCUCAGUAACCACAGGCAUAAUUCUGGUGGGAUGGCUACGAGCCAACUCAGAAAUGUUUUAUUGUUGUGGGAAAAUGAUUUUAAGUGCUUGUUUUACAAUGCUGCUUGGGGCAUGCCUAUUUCUGCUGACAGUACUGCGUGAGCAGCAGCUUUUGUCUGGCGAAACUAUACGUUUUUAAAGAACUGUUGAAGUAAACAAAUAAAACAGAACAAUGUCAAACCGC